This 916-nucleotide ribosomal RNA is filed under the name uncultured archaeon. RNAcentral describes it as "bacterial SSU rRNA". It matches the Rfam family "Archaeal small subunit ribosomal RNA", at positions 1 to 923 of the family's 1478-position model. The record is from RNAcentral.
UUCCGGUUGAUCCUGCCGGACCUGACUGCUAUCGGAUUGAUACUAAGCCAUGCGAGUCAUUGUAGCAAUACAAGGCAGACGGCUCAGUAACGCGUAGUCAACCUAACCUAUGGACGGGAAUAACCUCGGGAAACUGAGAAUAAUGCCCGAUAGAACACUAUACCUGGAAUGGUUUGUGUUCCAAAUGAUUUAUUGCCGUAGGAUGGGACUGCGGCCUAUCAGUUUGUUGGUGAGGUAAUGGCCCACCAAGACUAUUACAGGUACGGGCUCUGAGAGGAGUAGCCCGGAGAUGGGUACUGAGACACGGACCCAGGCCCUAUGGGGCGCAGCAGGCGAGAAAACUUUGCAAUGUGCGAAAGCACGACAAGGUUAAUCCGAGUGGUUUCUGCUAAAGGAACCUUUUGUUAGUCAUAGAACCACUAAUGAAUAAGGGGUGGGCAAGUUCUGGUGUCAGCCGCCGCGGUAAAACCAGCACCUCAAGUGGUCAGGAUGAUUAUUGGGCCUAAAGCAUCCGUAGCCUGCUUUGUUAGUUUUCGGUUAAAUCCAUACGCUCAACGUAUGGGCUGCCGGGAAUACUGCAAAGCUAGGGAGUGGGAGAGGUAGACGGUACUCGGUAGGAAGGGGUAAAAUCCUUUGAUCUAUUGAUGACCACCUGUGGCGAAGGCGGUCUACCAGAACACGUCCGACGGUGAGGGAUGAAAGCUGGGGGAGCAAACCGGAUUAGAUACCCGGGUAGUCCCAGCUGUAAACUAUGCAAACUCGGUGAUGCAUUGGCUUGAUGCCAAUGCAGUGCCGCAGGGAAGCCGUUAAGUUUGCCGCCUGGGAAGUACGUACGCAAGUAUGAAACUUAAAGGAAUUGGCGGGGGAGCACCACAAGGGGUGAAGCCUGCGGGUUCAAUUGGAUUCAACGCCGGAA